CAGCUCCCAGGCUCCGUGCUGGGCCUGGCUGGCCAAGGGAGGAACCCGCACGCCUCCCUGUGCCUGAAGCAGGAGAGGAGGCUGCUGACUAAGGAGCUCUGUGUGUUGAGGCCUGAGGUCCUCAGGGAGGUUCAAAUAUGAAGCCUGUGAGUGACAGGGGGCCCUUGGAGAGGGAAAGGGGGAGUCGUGUGUAUCUGCUUCUCCUGGAAACCCUGGGACCAGGUCUCCCCCUUCCUGCCCCCUGGAUGUCCUUGAAGCUAUUUUUAUGUGUUGCUGGAAACCAGAAUUACAGCCACAGCCAGAGCUCGGGAGGUUCCUGUGCGUACGGAUCCUGCCCAGGGGAGCAGGCUGGUGGAGCUGGUCCAGGAGCCCCACCGUGCAGGCGGGCAGUCUGGGUCCCCGUCCUAUGAGCUUGGAGGUCACGGUGGCACAAGGUGAGGGACAGGACUUGGAGCAGCUGUGGUAAGGGGCCGUGAUCCUGGGGUUCUUGAGCCUGCAUGAAAAUCCAGAACACACCAGAAAUUCAAGAAUCCACUCACCACUGGCCCCUUCCACCGCGGUAUAUUUAAGUGAGAGCUUCCAGCUGCAGACAGAGGGUCACCUACAAAACACACGGAGCCCUGCUCUCAAGGCACCCCCAAAUCCAACUGCUCCGCUCUGACUCAAAAUCCUCCCGCGGCUCCCCAGGGCCCCCUGAAGAUGGUGCCGUCUUUAUACUGUGCUGGGGACAAGUCUCAGGAGCGUUCCCUGCCACCUAGGCCUCCCGAGGAUCCUGACCCGCGGUCUUCAGCUCUCUUCCGCCUGGCCAGCAGCUUUCAUGGGGUGACGAGAGACAAGGUGGAGGGCAGGACCACAGAGGAGGAGGGAAGGGGCGCCGGGUGCAGACUGGUCUGUUCUUGUUUGGGUAGGGGCCAGGAAAACAGGAGGCCAAGAAGCAGAGUCACCGGUCCCACUGACACCGGUCCCACCAUGGGCCGAGCUACAUGGAGAACCAAGGGCAGCCUGAGGCUCUGGGGGGCGUGCAGGAGCCCACGGGGAGGGAGGUCUGAGGAGCCCUGCUCAAGGGCAUAACUUGGUCUCCCCUUAAUAUUCUUUGCAUGACGUGAAAAAUACUGAAAAUCCCUAUAAAGAAUGUUGGGUUGCUGUCCUUCCUGAGCUCGUUAAUGAGCCUCUGCAGCAACGGGCCACACGGACCUCAGGAAUUACUUGGGUUACAUCCCUGGGGCUUCCAGGGCUCCCUGGGAUCGGGGACCUGGAGAUGCCCAGAUCUUCUAUUUUCUCGACCACCAUUUUUUCUCCCCCCUCCCCCAUCCCUUUUCUACACUUGACCUUCCAGCUGGGCUGGUUCCUCUGGCCUCUCCCAAAAGCCUGGUUCCCCUCUUCCCCAUCUGGGCUAUGACAGUUGCCUAGAACCUACUCACAUUGGGUUGUCCCUUUUGUCUCCCUGGUCCCCUCCCCUGGUCACCUGUUUGGCAUGCUCAGACUAUUUUUCGU
Molecule: long non-coding RNA, 1494 nt
Filed under: Marmota monax (woodchuck)
Lineage: Eukaryota; Metazoa; Chordata; Mammalia; Rodentia; Sciuridae
Source: RNAcentral